GACGAACGCUGGCGGCGUGCUUAACACAUGCAAGUCGAACGAAGUGGCGAACGGGUGAGUAACGCGUAAACAACCUGCCCUUCAGAGGGGGAAAACAGUUGGAAAAGACUGCUAAUACCGCAUACUGAAGGAGGGGAGUGCGUCUGAUUAGGUAGUUGGGGGGGUAACGGCCCACCAAGGCGCUGAUAGGUAGCCGGUCUGAGAGGAUGAACGGCCACAUUGGUACUGAGACACGGCCCAGACUCCUACGGGAGGCAGCAGUGGGGAAUCUUCCGCAAUGGACGGAAGUCUGACGGGGCAACGCCGCGUGAGUGAUGACGGCCUUCGGGUUUUAAAGCUCUGUUAAUCGGGACGCGGUACCGGAAUAGAAAGCCACGGCUAACUACGUGCCAGCAGCCGCGGUAAUAC
This 408-nucleotide ribosomal RNA is filed under the name uncultured bacterium. RNAcentral's name for it is "partial 16S ribosomal RNA". It matches the Rfam family "Bacterial small subunit ribosomal RNA", at positions 28 to 526 of the family's 1533-position model. The record is from RNAcentral.